GCAGCCACUCAUUCAAAGAGUGCGUAAUAGCUCACUGGUCGAGUGAUCCUGCGCCGAAGAUUUCCGGGGCUAAAACUUACUACCGAAGCUACGGCAUCAGUAAUGAUGGGUAGGGGAGCUUCCCAUACGGGUUGAAGCAUGACCGUAAGGACAUGUGGACAGGAUGGGAGUGAGAAUGUUGGCAUGAGUAGCGAGAUGUGGGUGAGAAUCCCACAGGCCGUAAACCCAAGGUUUCCAGGGGAAGGUUCGUCCGCCCUGGGUUAGUCGGGACCUAAGCUGAGGCCGAAAGGCGUAGGUGAUGGACAACAGGUUGAUAUUCCUGUACUACCGAUAACCGUUUGAGAGAUGGGAUGACACAGUAGGAUAAGCUAAGCACACUGUUGGUUAUGUGUGCCCAAGCAUUGAGGCAGUCAAAGUAG
This 419-nucleotide ribosomal RNA is filed under the name Clostridioides difficile. RNAcentral describes it as "bacterial LSU rRNA". It matches the Rfam family "Bacterial large subunit ribosomal RNA", at positions 1112 to 1535 of the family's 2925-position model. Lineage: Bacteria; Bacillati; Bacillota; Clostridia; Peptostreptococcales; Peptostreptococcaceae. The record is from RNAcentral.